This 550-nucleotide ribosomal RNA is filed under the name Trichoderma virens. RNAcentral describes it as "eukaryotic LSU rRNA". The stretch from base 176 to 329 matches the Rfam family "5.8S ribosomal RNA". The record is from RNAcentral. Lineage: Eukaryota; Fungi; Ascomycota; Sordariomycetes; Hypocreales; Hypocreaceae.
UGUGAACGUUACCAAACUGUUGCCUCGGCGGGAUCUCUGCCCCGGGUGCGUCGCAGCCCCGGACCAAGGCGCCCGCCGGAGGACCAACCAAAACUCUUAUUGUAUACCCCCUCGCGGGUUUUUUACUAUCUGAGCCAUCUCGGCGCCCCUCGUGGGCGUUUCGAAAAUGAAUCAAAACUUUCAACAACGGAUCUCUUGGUUCUGGCAUCGAUGAAGAACGCAGCGAAAUGCGAUAAGUAAUGUGAAUUGCAGAAUUCAGUGAAUCAUCGAAUCUUUGAACGCACAUUGCGCCCGCCAGUAUUCUGGCGGGCAUGCCUGUCCGAGCGUCAUUUCAACCCUCGAACCCCUCCGGGGGGUCGGCGUUGGGGAUCGGCCCUUUACGGGGCCGGCCCCGAAAUACAGUGGCGGUCUCGCCGCAGCCUCUCCUGCGCAGUAGUUUGCACACUCGCAUCGGGAGCGCGGCGCGUCCACAGCCGUUAAACACCCCAAACUUCUGAAAUGUUGACCUCGGAUCAGGUAGGAAUACCCGCUGAACUUAAGCAUAUCAAUA